CGAGGGAAAAGCAACAAUAAGGUCAGAAAUAAAUAAGGAAUAUGGUAAAACUAAGUCUACGUUCAUCUCAGAAAGCGUGUUAAGGUUGUAAACAGUAGUGGCGUUGGAAAAUUUUGAAGACCAGUCAGUUACAUGCUUGAUGGUAAGUCACCCACGGGUUUGACGAGUAGCAGAUCACAGUCCUGGUAUGAAGUUAGUCCCCGG
RNAcentral lists this long non-coding RNA (204 nucleotides) under Linum usitatissimum (flax). Its description in RNAcentral is "long non-coding RNA (LUSI_LNC006943)". The record is from RNAcentral. Lineage: Eukaryota; Viridiplantae; Streptophyta; Magnoliopsida; Malpighiales; Linaceae.